GAUGAACGCUGGCGGCGUGCCUAGUACAUGCAAGUCGAGCGAACAGACGAGGAGCUUGCUCCUCUGACGUUAGCGGCGGACGGGUGAGUAACACGUGGAUAACCUACCUAUAAGACUGGGAUAACUUCGGGAAACCGGAGCUAAUACCGGAUGAUAUAUUGAACCGCAUGGUUCAAUAGUGAAAGACGGUUUUGCUGUCACUUAUAGAUGGAUCCGCGCCGCAUUAGCUAGUUGGUAAGGUAACGGCUUACCAAGGCAACGAUGCGUAGCCGACCUGAGAGGGUGAUCCGCCACACUGGAACUGAGACACGGUCCAGACUCCUACGGGAGGCAGCAGUAGGGAAUCUUCCGCAAUGGGCGAAAGCCUGACGGAGCAACGCCGCGUGAGUGAUGAAGGUCUUCGGAUCGUAAAACUCUGUUAUUAGGGAAGAACAAAUGUGUAAGUAACUAUGCACGUCUUGACGGUACCUAAUCAGAAAGCCACGGCUAACUACGUG
Molecule: ribosomal RNA, 497 nt
Filed under: uncultured bacterium
Lineage: Bacteria
Description: partial 16S ribosomal RNA
Rfam family: Bacterial small subunit ribosomal RNA
Source: RNAcentral